UCAUAUUCAUUCUCUUGGCCCCAGAUCGUUUACCGUGAAAGAAAUUAGAGUGUUCAAAGCAGGCAGAUUCAAUUUUCUGCCACCGAAUACAUUAGCAUGGGAUAAUGGAAUAGGACCCUGUCCUCCUCUUUUCAGUUGGUUAAUUUAUGUGCGAGGAUCAGGGUAAUGAUUAAUAGGGAUAGUUGGGGGCAUUAAUAUUUAAUUGUCCAGAGGUGAAAUUCUUGGAUUUAUGAAAGAUUAACUUCUGCGAAAGCAUCUCGCCAAGGAUCGUUUUCAUUAAUCAAGAACGAAAGUUAGGGGAUCGAAGACGAUCAGAUACCGUCGUAGUCUUAACCAUAAACGAUGCCGACCAGCGAUUAGGAGACGUUGAAUACAAAACACCGCCUAAAGAUAAUUCAUUAUAUGGCUUCACGGCUGCUAGUACGNGCUCUCNNCNUAUACGUUACCUGNGC
This 452-nucleotide ribosomal RNA is filed under the name Acanthamoeba sp. T11/T4. Its description in RNAcentral is "bacterial SSU rRNA". It matches the Rfam family "Eukaryotic small subunit ribosomal RNA", at positions 723 to 1087 of the family's 1831-position model. Lineage: Eukaryota; Discosea; Longamoebia; Acanthamoebidae. The record is from RNAcentral.